GAUGAACGCUAGCUACAGGCUUAACACAUGCAAGUCGAGGGGAAACGGCAUUGAGUGCUUGCACUCUUUGGACGUCGACUGGCGCACGGGUGAGUAACGCGUAUCCAACCUUCCCAUUACUGUGGGAUAACCUGCCGAAAGGCAGACUAAUACCGCAUAGUCUUCGAUGACGGCAUCAGAUUUGAAGUAAAGAUUUAUCGGUAAUGGAUGGGGAUGCGUCUGAUUAGCUUGUUGGCGGGGUAACGGCCCACCAAGGCUACGAUCAGUAGGGGUUCUGAGAGGAAGGUCCCCCACAUUGGAACUGAGACACGGUCCAAACUCCUACGGGAGGCAGCAGUGAGGAAUAUUGGUCAAUGGACGGAAGUCUGAACCAGCCAAGUAGCGUGCAGGAUGACGGCCCUAUGGGUUGUAAACUGCUUUUGUAUGGGGAUAAAGUUAGGGACGUGUCCCUAUUUGCAGGUACCAUACGAAUAAGGACCGGCUAAUUCCGUGCCAGCAGCCGCGGUAAUACGGAAGGUCCAGGCGUUAUCCGGAUUUAUUGGGUUUAAAGGGAGCGUAGGCUGGAGAUUAAGUGUGUUGUGAAAUGUAGACGCUCAACGUCUGAAUUGCAGCGCAUACUGGUUUCCUUGAGUACGCACAACGUUGGCGGAAUUCGUCGUGUAGCGGUGAAAUGCUUAGAUAUGACGAAGAACUCCGAUUGCGAAGGCAGCUGACGGGAGCGCAACUGACGCUUAAGCUCGAAGGUGCGGGUAUCAAACAGG
Molecule: ribosomal RNA, 761 nt
Filed under: Prevotella melaninogenica
Lineage: Bacteria; Pseudomonadati; Bacteroidota; Bacteroidia; Bacteroidales; Prevotellaceae
Description: bacterial SSU rRNA
Rfam family: Bacterial small subunit ribosomal RNA
Source: RNAcentral